Long non-coding RNA from Chinchilla lanigera (long-tailed chinchilla), 1810 nucleotides. RefSeq lists it as uncharacterized. The record is from RefSeq and is a predicted model, not a curated record. NCBI's taxonomy places the organism in Eukaryota, Metazoa, Chordata, Mammalia, Rodentia, Chinchillidae. The transcript is spliced from 4 exons.
GGCUGCGGAGGCGGGGUCCCGGGGCCGUCACGGCCCUCGACCCCGCCCUGCCCCGCCCUUGUCACACGGGGUGGCGCGGGGUGAGUGGGGACCCCCAGAGGCCGCGCGCCUGCUCCGAGCACCACGGACCGGGAGGCUGAGAGCGGCCCCCCCGGGGUCCCCUGCUGUCCGGUGCUGCCUCCGCCCUGGCGCCGCACCCUGGAGUCACCUUUGACUCUGAAUUCUCCGCACGGAAGGACCUGGCUCACCUGGGGACACCCUUGUAUAUUAUGGACGAGGAGGGUGUGAGGCUCGGGGCUGGGGAGGAAACGGAGAGACCAGGAACAGGCCGAGGAUCUCCCACCGCCCGGUGUAGCCACCCACCAUGGUAGAAGCUACAUUUUUCGGAGGAGGAAGAGGCACAGAAGUCAGUCCCGGUGGGACCCCCGCCCCCCCACAUUCCCAGGAGGAAGCUCUCCCGGCCCAGCUGCCUCCGGGUUAACUAGGAUGAAGGUCUCCAGUCUGUCCUGAAACACAGCCGGCCCGGGACGCACUGAGCGCUGUGCAUGUGGACACCCCGCUUUCACCGAUCCCGAACGCUUGUGAGGAGGCCAGGUCCUCCCCACACAGGCAUGGGGAACACCCCAGCGCACAAAGAUUCUCACUACAUGACCCAAGAUGGCCUUGAACUUGCAAUGAACCUCCUGCCUCAGCCUCCGAAGCGCUGGAAUUUUCGGCACAGCGCUGGACUCUGAUCAAUAAUCAAAUAAGUAAGUUCCAAAGGAUUCUCUUUUACUCACUGUCAUACCCAGAACCCAGCCCAGGACCCGCCACACGGCAGAACUCAGUAAAGAUGGGUUAGGAAGGAGCUCUUACGGGGUCGGCUGGAGAGUCAGGCUUUGAGGCCAGGUUGAGCAACAGUGUGGACCUUGUCUCAUUAACAACGACCAGAAAGAAUGAACAAAGCGAUGGAAUGACCGACCCAUUGCGCCUUUGAUAAACGGGGAUGUUUUGUUUCUCUGAAAAGAGUCCUUAGAGCUGGAGGCUUUGUUUGUGAGCCAGGCCUGGCGCAGUUAGUGACCAAGAACUGUGCUUAAGGCUUAAAGCGACCCCAGGAGCAGAGUGGCUGAGUUCCUCACAGGACCACUCAGCACAGGCCAAACCAAACAGGAACAACGGCUCUGGGAUGCUUGAGGUGGGAAUGGAGACGGCGAAGGUCACCAUUUUCAUCUGGCUCUCCAGGUUCUUCCGUAUAUCAUAUUUACUUUGAGCCCUGUGCUAUAUUCCCAGAGGAUUUGGGGUAAAAGCAGAAGUUGGCUUGUUUAUCGGUGACACUGUCCAUGUGGACUAACGCGUGGCAGAAGCAUUUCAGAGGGUUGUGGCUAAUUGUUCCUCACACACAUGGGCUGGGCCGGGGCGAGGGCAACGCGGCUUUCAGGGAGACGUCCUGGGACUGUGCCAAUUGGCCCUGCGGUCCACCCCUCCUCAUGAGACCCGGCACAGCUGCGGCCCGUGUCUGGACGAAGGGCCCAGGGAAAAGGCAGCGGGCAGAGUCCCAGAGGCAAGAGGCUCUGACAACCCCUUGGGGGCCCAGAGGGAAGCAGAAGGCAGAAGCAGAAGCACAAGGUGGCCUGAAGGGACCCUCUGGCCCUCGUCAAGCUCUAGCCCUCACUUAGAGGCCUUUGGUCACAGAGCUCUGAGCCGUCGGGUCUCUGAGGACGGGCUGGAGUUCCGAACACUCUGACGAUUGCAGUUGAUGUCCAUUUGCUGUUCAAAAUAAAACAGUAUAAACUAUAACAUAAGUGUAAGAGGGUCAAUAAAGUUCAGAUUU